RNAcentral lists this microRNA precursor (85 nucleotides) under Paramuricea clavata. The record is from RNAcentral. Lineage: Eukaryota; Metazoa; Cnidaria; Anthozoa; Malacalcyonacea; Plexauridae.
AACGAGGGGUAUUCCACAAAAAAUUACCCUGAGGGAUGAAAUAUAUAUUUCAUCCCGCAGGGUAAUUUUUUGUGGAAUACCCCGA